GUGUGGUACCUGUUGUAGACUGAGGAUGAGGGGUGUGUGUGUGUGUGUGGUACCUGUUGUAGACUGAGGAUGAGGGGUGUGUGUGUGUGUGUGGUACCUGUUGUAGACUGAGGAUGAGGGGUGUGUGUGUGUGUGUGGUACCUGUUGUAGACUGAGGAUGAGGGGUGUGUGUGUGUGUGUGGUACCUGUUGUAGACUGAGGAUGAGGGGUGUGUGUGUGUGUGUGUGUGUGUGUGUGUGUGUGUGUGGUACCUGUUGUAGACUGAGGAUGAGGGGUGUGUGUGUGUGUGUGGUACCUGUUGUAGACUGAGGAUGAGGGGGGUGUGUGUGUGUGGUACCUGUUGUAGACUGAGGAUGAGGGGUGUGUGUGUGUGUGGUACCUGUUGUAGACUGAGGAUGAGGGGUGUGUGUG
Oncorhynchus keta (chum salmon) is the source of this 411-nucleotide long non-coding RNA. RefSeq lists it as uncharacterized. The record is from RefSeq and is a predicted model, not a curated record. The transcript is spliced from 4 exons. Lineage: Eukaryota; Metazoa; Chordata; Actinopteri; Salmoniformes; Salmonidae.